GUGCUCACUUUAGUAGCACAUAUACUAAAAUUAGAAAGAUUUCGAGAUUAGCAUAGUGCAUGUGCCAAGGUGACCCAUAAGUUAAUGAAGGAUUUUAUGAUUUU
Otolemur garnettii (small-eared galago) is the source of this 104-nucleotide small nuclear RNA. The record is from Ensembl. NCBI's taxonomy places the organism in Eukaryota, Metazoa, Chordata, Mammalia, Primates, Galagidae.